This 332-nucleotide unclassified non-coding RNA is filed under the name soil metagenome. Its description in RNAcentral is "partial contains 5.8S ribosomal RNA, internal transcribed spacer 2, and large subunit ribosomal RNA". The stretch from base 1 to 120 matches the Rfam family "5.8S ribosomal RNA", at positions 35 to 154 of the family's 154-position model. The record is from RNAcentral.
GAUGAAGAACGUAGCGAAAUGCGAUAAGUAGUGUGAAUUGCAGAAUUCAGUGAAUCAUCGAAUCUUUGAACGCACAUUGCGCCCUUUGGUAUUCCUUAGGGCAUGCCUGUUCGAGCGUCAUUUAAACCUUCAAGCUAAGCUUGGUGUUGGGUGACUGUCCGCUUCACGGCGGACUCGCCUCAAAAUUAUUGGCGGCCGGUACAUUGGCUUCGAGCGCAGCAGAAACGCGAACUCGGGCCCGUCGUAUUGGCUCCCAGAAGCUAUCUUCACAAUUUUGACCUCUGAUCAGGUAGGGAUACCCGCUGAACUUAAGCAUAUCAAUAAGCGGAGGA